Molecule: ribosomal RNA, 399 nt
Filed under: uncultured bacterium
Lineage: Bacteria
Description: bacterial SSU rRNA
Rfam family: Bacterial small subunit ribosomal RNA
Source: RNAcentral
GACGAACGCUGGCGGCGUGCUUAACACAUGCAAGUCGAACGGUGACGGAGAGCUUGCUCUCCUGAUCAGUGGCGAACGGGUGAGUAACACGUGGGCAACCUGCCCCAGACUUCGGGAUAACGCUUCGAAAGAAGGUGCUAAUACCGAAUACGAACCUCCCUGGCAUCUGGGAGGUUGGAAAGCUUUCGGUUCUGGGAUGGGCCCGCGGCCUAUCAGCUUGUUGGUGAGGUAACGGCUCACCAAGGCGACGACGGGUAGCCGGCCUGAGAGGGCGACCGGCCACACUGGGACUGAGACACGGCCCAGACUCCUACGGGAGGCAGCAGUGGGGAAGUAUUGCGGCAAUGGGCGAAAGCCUGACGCAGCAACGCCGCGUGAGGGAUGACGGCCUUCGGUUGG